Long non-coding RNA from Ipomoea triloba (trilobed morning glory), 338 nucleotides. RefSeq lists it as uncharacterized. The transcript is spliced from 2 exons. NCBI's taxonomy places the organism in Eukaryota, Viridiplantae, Streptophyta, Magnoliopsida, Solanales, Convolvulaceae. The record is from RefSeq and is a predicted model, not a curated record.
CAGCGCCUCCCCUCCGCCGGCGGCCGAACCAGCACCACUUCCCCUCCACCUUCGCCCACUGCCAGCGUCCAAACUCCAAAGCAGCACCACCUCCCCUCGCCGAUCUUUCUUGGAAUCAAAGAUGACUACCGCUGUUGCCUUGUAACUGAUAUUGAAAUAGAUCUAUGAACUUAUUUUCAGUGUUGGUGUUGUUGUUGACUUGUAGUUUAUAUUGAAGAUUUGAAGUGGACUUGUGAACUUACUUAUUUUGAGUGCUUAAGUGUAGUUGAUAUUGCAGUGAAGUUGUGCACAUUUUAAGUUUUUAACAAAUGAAGUUUGGACUUUGGAAUGUUUAAAAA